CCCUUGCCUUAGGCUCGGGCUACAAAUCUCCCACUCGUCAAAAUAAAAACUUCCCAACUAGCAUGUAUAGUAUACAGUUUUACUUG
Bradysia coprophila is the source of this 86-nucleotide long non-coding RNA. The record is from RefSeq and is a predicted model, not a curated record. NCBI's taxonomy places the organism in Eukaryota, Metazoa, Arthropoda, Insecta, Diptera, Sciaridae.